UUGCGAUGGGUAUAUAAGGGGAAACCGUUCGUGGUUUCCCCUCACUUGAUCGAAAAUUCAAAAAAUUUGCCGUUUGAGAGAGAAACUGUUCUGUCUUCUCCGACGAUUUUUUCUGAAAUUCCGGUGAGGUUUGUAGUGUUUCUGUUCAUCAUCUUCUGUUUCUUGGAUAUUUUUGAUGGCUGAACCAUCUAAUCCACACAAUGUGGAGGGUAGGUUGCCGGCGGUGGUUUGCCGGUGUUGA
RNAcentral lists this long non-coding RNA (241 nucleotides) under Helianthus annuus (common sunflower). RNAcentral's name for it is "sRNA HanXRQr2_Chr15g0674161". The record is from RNAcentral. Lineage: Eukaryota; Viridiplantae; Streptophyta; Magnoliopsida; Asterales; Asteraceae.